CAUGUCAGAGCGCUUUGAUGACGUGGCAACAAAUCGCGUCCACGAGGGGGCGAUUUGUUGCCACGUUAGCAAAGCGCUCUGACGUGG
Gossypium raimondii (Peruvian cotton) is the source of this 87-nucleotide non-coding RNA. The record is from Rfam. Lineage: Eukaryota; Viridiplantae; Streptophyta; Magnoliopsida; Malvales; Malvaceae.